Brassica napus (rape) is the source of this 1994-nucleotide RNA transcript. RefSeq lists it as uncharacterized. The transcript has 8 exons. The record is from RefSeq and is a predicted model, not a curated record. Lineage: Eukaryota; Viridiplantae; Streptophyta; Magnoliopsida; Brassicales; Brassicaceae.
AAGGGGAAUAUGAAGCCCUCUCAGCCUAUCCACCUCAGCAAAUUAAAUCAACCAAUUAGAAGACUCCAAUUAAGUUAACCCAUUAAACCCAAAAUUAUGAAAGAGUGUUGAUUUGUAUCGUUUGCUUUCCAUCUUCUAUCCGUGUAAUCCUCACUGUACAGCUUCUCUUCCUUAAAUCGCUAUUGGGAGAGUGUUGUAGCAAGGCUCCUUCGAUUCUGGGAAGCUCGCCUUGAUCUGUUACGGAUCCAUGGAAAGGUGAUCCAUAUUCUUCUCCAACACUGUCGGGUCUGAUUAGAACUCGUGCUCUCCGAUAACAACGGGUCAAGACGAAUCCUGAGGCAGAGGGCCCGUUGAGAGAUUUCUCUGUCCAAGUCAGCAAGCAUCUCGGCCCUGGAGCAGCUCAACACCUCUGCUAUUGACCAAAUGGUCAAGAGAAAACAAGAUGGAGAAGAUGAAGAUAUUAGUGAUCAGAGUGAUCACAGUGGGACAGCCGCUGCAUAUCAACCCGUCUCCAUCACACAUACGAAAAAGGCGUUGGUAUUGUGUACAAUCAGAGUUUAUAGUUUAUACUGGAUUUCUAAAUCUAAUGAAUCUGAUAUCAAUGAUAGCGCAAACUCAGCUUCUAUGCUACGAAAAGAAACUGCCUGGAUACGAACAUCCUACUAUAAUAGAGUCUAUGGUCUCCCACAUUCAUAAGGUAUAAGCCGUCGCUUCAAGUUGAUACUAUUUAAUUUAUUACAUUAUUUAGGGAAGUCAGCCCGCCAAGUGAGCACGCAGCUACGCCAAGUUAAGCAACUUGCUCGCAAUCAAGCAGGAAAGCUAGAGGAACCAUAAGGCACUUAAACUAAAACUAAUCUCGCAUUGGUCCUACCCUUUCUGGCAUGUUUCCUUUAACCAUUGUGCUCAGGUGCGGUGCAGCUAACAAUUCACAACACACCUUGAAUGGGUUGUAAUGAAGCUUCGCUUAGGACAUCUCCCAUUUUCAAAGCCUGAAAAUUUUCCACCAGCCAACUUUUUCAUUUGUUCACAGCUCAACAUGCCAGCAGUAGUACAACACCAACUCUUACAUGUGUACAACAAAGCCUAGGCCCCCAUGCUGUGAUACCAACAAACGGAGCAGAGGAUAUAGCUGCAACAUCUACUCCCUACUGAGGCUUUUAGCUUCAGGUAAGAUUCAGCACCCGAAGACAUGAUCCUCCCAAGUGCCAAAUUCCACAUAAUUGAGUUUCUCUGCAUGACCAAAGUGACUGGAAUUCAGCCAGAGAAAGGUUGGUGUUAUAUAGGCUGCUCCAAUUGUUCCAAAAAACUCCACUGAGAGAUAUCUUCCUUCACAUGUAUCCCAUGUAAUAAUAAAAACAAUGCCAUUGGUGCACUGAGGUAUCGAGUGGAACUGUCUGUCUCAGACGUAACUGAUGAUGCUGUUUUUGUGGCUUUUGAUAUAGGGAUGGCUAAACUGACGAACAUUCAAGCUGCUGAAAUUUUGGUGGAAGGAGUUUAUGCUAAGGUUGACGCUGAACUCCUUCGGUUCGUUGCUGAAAUUUUUGGGAAGACGUACACCUUCCAGCUGAAGAUAGGCGAAUUCAAUUUCCCUUCAAAACCCCAAACCUUCACCAUCUCCUGUAUCUUUGCUGAGCGACAUCAGUCACCUUUGCCAGGAUUUGUUAUAGAUAGGUUCCUGAUGCUCAUCUUCCUGGAGUGAGUGCACUAGCUUCGAAUGUCGCUGCUGAUGAGAACUCCAAUUUUUCUCCCCAGCCAUCCACGUCUGCUGAUCCAACUGUCGAAAUGUGAACUUGGCGAGAGUGGAACCAAGAAGGCACGCUUGGCAUAAGUUCACGUGGAUACCUUUGACAACCCCUAAAAUUUAUUAUCAAAUAAUAUGCUUUAGCAUCUUUUUCUACUUUGUGUUUCAAAAAAAAAACAUAUUUUUCUAUUUUUGUUUUGAACUCACUGUAGUGAUCAGUGUUUGAAUUAUUAAUGAAAGUUUUUGUAGGAUA